RNAcentral lists this small RNA (125 nucleotides) under Salmonella enterica. Its description in RNAcentral is "partial RtT sRNA". It matches the Rfam family "RtT RNA", at positions 40 to 130 of the family's 130-position model. Rfam says of the family: This family represents a bacterial cis-regulatory element known as RtT RNA. The exact function of RtT is unknown although it is thought that it may be involved in changing the cellular response in relation to amino acid starvation. Lineage: Bacteria; Pseudomonadati; Pseudomonadota; Gammaproteobacteria; Enterobacterales; Enterobacteriaceae. The record is from RNAcentral. RNAcentral also lists the same sequence under 1 other name.
GGUUCGAAUCCUGCACGACCCACCAAUAUACAAGGUGGUAACUGGUAGAGAACGUGAAGGUUAACGUUGCUUUAGCAACGGCCCGAAGGGCGAGGCGAAGCCGAGUCAUCCUGCACGACCCACCA